GUGUAUUUUUAUUUGUAUUUUUUUACUAUAAAUAGCACUGCAUUUGAAAGAGCGGAUCCAGUUUCUACAUUAACUGGGUAGCGGAGGGAAAGUGUCUCACAGAACAGACACAUACACGUGUCUGGAGGGAUCUAUGUCAGGUGAGCACACCCAUUUAUGUGUUAUAGCUCACCAUCAAGUCUUUUAACUCACUACACUUAGAGUAUUUUCUCUACAUUCUUCUCUUUGG
Molecule: non-coding RNA, 229 nt
Organism: Pelobates cultripes (western spadefoot toad)
Lineage: Eukaryota; Metazoa; Chordata; Amphibia; Anura; Pelobatidae
Source: the annotation of a GenBank genome assembly